Small nucleolar RNA from Pelobates fuscus (common spadefoot toad), 115 nucleotides. The record is from RefSeq and is a predicted model, not a curated record. Lineage: Eukaryota; Metazoa; Chordata; Amphibia; Anura; Pelobatidae.
ACCCAAAUGCGUUGAGUUCAGCCUGUGGUUUCUCCCACUUGCUGUUAAUUAGCUUUGGGACACUAAUGAGCUUGCAGGAAUAAUCAUCAACAUGACUGACCUGUAGCUAACAUUU